UGAAGGUGCACGUAGAUCCCUUUGCCCAAAGGAAAGAUGGAUUAGAGCCCCAAAGAAAUAGAAAAAUUCAAAGAAAUAAUCCUCUAGAUAAGUACUCCAUGAAAUAAUUCUCAUCAUAAGCACGCAAGGCAUUUAUUAUGUGAUCCUUAUAUUAAUGAAGUACAAAGACACGGAAACUUAAUAGCAGGGUGGAUUGCCUAAGUAAAUCACAGAAGGCAGUCAUGCAAAACGU
Molecule: unclassified non-coding RNA, 232 nt
Filed under: Hevea brasiliensis (rubber tree)
Lineage: Eukaryota; Viridiplantae; Streptophyta; Magnoliopsida; Malpighiales; Euphorbiaceae
Source: RNAcentral